RNAcentral lists this long non-coding RNA (851 nucleotides) under Gossypium barbadense (sea-island cotton). RNAcentral describes it as "long non-coding RNA (GBAR_LNC012219)". The record is from RNAcentral. Lineage: Eukaryota; Viridiplantae; Streptophyta; Magnoliopsida; Malvales; Malvaceae.
UUUAAAUUGAUUUUAACAAUAGCGAUGAAAGUGAAAGAAGGUUAUGGGCUCAUUUGGGGAUACUCAACUCUAAGAUCUCUCAUAGUUGGUAGCUGGGGACUUCAAUGUUAUUGUUAGGCCACAAAAGAGUUGAUUAUUGCAUUUCUUGUGUUGAGGCCCAAUUUAGCCAUACCCAAACCUAACAGGCCAAACUCAUUUACAACUAAAAAUCCACCAGCCCACCUAACCACUAAACCAAACAGUCUAAAAAAAUAAACCUUAAUAGCUCAACUCGAAAAUAAAAAAGAAAAAAAAAACAAUUAACCCUAGCCACUGUCAAAGUCUCAACCACCCUCUGCAACUACCCUCUGCCACCACGUGCUCUACCGCCACAGUCGCAGCACCACCGCCCACUUGCACCUGCAAGAAAAGACAGCAAGAAAUAAUAAUAAAAUUUGUAAAAUGAUGGCUAUAAAAAAGCCAUUCAAAAAUUAUGUAGAAGGUUCUCUUUUUGGCUCCAACAAAAAAAAAAGAAAAUACAAAGAAUAGAUUUUAAAUAAAAAAAAACAACAAGCAGUCAAGAACAGAUUGGUGGUGCAAAGGUCUUUUUUUUUUUGUUGUUUACCUUUCUCUUUAUUUUUCCGCAUAUAUAUACGUAUUUCUUUAUAUUUCUUCCAAAAAAACAGCAUAUACAUAACAUAUAUGUAUAGAUAUAGAUAAAAAUGUAAAAAAAAAAAACCUUUUUUUUCUAUUUUCUGGCCACCGUACACGGUGGCCAGCGGCGGUGGCUGGCGACGGUCCGGUGACCGGACGGUGACCGGCCCUGUGGCCGGAAAUCGCCUCACCCCUCCCCUCUCUCUCUUUUUUUUUUC